GGUUAAGCGACUAAGCGUACACGGUGGAUGCCCUGGCAGUCAGAGGCGAUGAAGGGCGUGCUAAUCUGCGAUAAGCGCCGGUAAGGUGAUAUGAACCGUUAUAACCGGCGAUACCCGAAUGGGGAAACCCAGUGUGUUUCGACACACUAUCAUUAACUGAAUCCAUAGGUUAAUGAGGCGAACCGGGGGAACUGAAACAUCUAAGUACCCCGAGGAAAAGAAAUCAACCGAGAUUCCCCCAGUAGCGGCGAGCGAACGGGGAGGAGCCCAGAGCCUGAAUCAGCAUGUGUGUUAGUGGAAGCGUCUGGAAAGGCGCGCGAUACAGGGUGACAGCCCCGUACACAAAAGCGCAUGUGCUGUGAGCUCGAUGAGUAGGGCGGGACACGUGGUAUCCUGUCUGAAUAUGGGGGGACCAUCCUCCAAGGCUAAAUACUCCUGACUGACCGAUAGUGAACCAGUACCGUGAGGGAAAGGCGAAAAGAACCCCGGCGAGGGGAGUGAAAAAGAACCUGAAACCGUGUACGUACAAGCAGUGGGAGCCCCACCACUAAGCCAGUGGUGAACUCCACAUACGCAUCCUUUGCUGAGGAUACGGUUAACGGAGCGAAAGCGACGUUCAACCUCAAAAGAAGCAGAGGGGGCUUAGUGGUGGGGUGACUGCGUACCUUUUGUAUAAUGGGUCAGCGACUUAUAUUCUGUAGCAAGGUUAACCGAAUAGGGGAGCCGGAGGGAAACCGAGUCUUA
Molecule: ribosomal RNA, 744 nt
Filed under: Salmonella enterica
Lineage: Bacteria; Pseudomonadati; Pseudomonadota; Gammaproteobacteria; Enterobacterales; Enterobacteriaceae
Description: partial 23S ribosomal RNA
Rfam family: Bacterial large subunit ribosomal RNA
Source: RNAcentral